RNAcentral lists this ribosomal RNA (253 nucleotides) under uncultured bacterium. RNAcentral's name for it is "partial 16S ribosomal RNA". It matches the Rfam family "Bacterial small subunit ribosomal RNA", at positions 524 to 776 of the family's 1533-position model. The record is from RNAcentral.
UACGUAGGGUGCGAGCGUUGUCCGGAAUUAUUAGGCGUAAAGAGCUUGUAGGCGGUCUGUCGCGUCUGCUGUGAAAAUCCGGGGCUCAACCCCGGACUUGCAGUGGGUACGGGCAGACUAGAGUGUGGUAGGGGAGACUGGAAUUCCUGGUGUAGCGGUGAAAUGCGCAGAUAUCAGGAGGAACACCGAUGGCGAAGGCAGGUCUCUGGGCCACUACUGACGCUGAGAAGCGAAAGCAUGGGGAGCGAACAGG